ACUCCUACGGGAGGCAGCAGUGGGGAAUAUUGGACAAUGGGCGGAAGCCUGAUCCAGCAACGCCGCGUGAGGGAUGACUGCCUUCGGGUUGUAAACCUCUUUCAGCGGGGACGAAGCACCGGUUGAUGGUGGUGACGGUACCCGCAGAAGAAGCACCGGCCAACUACGUGCCAGCAGCCGCGGUAAUACGUAGGGUGCGAGCGUUGUCCGGAAUUAUUGGGCGUAAAGGGCUCGUAGGCGGUUUGUCGCGUCGGGCGUGAAAUCCACCAGCUUAACUGGUGGUCUGCGUUCGAUACGGGCAGACUAGAGGUAUGCAGGGGAGAACGGAAUUCCUGGUGUAGCGGUGAAAUGCGCAGAUAUCAGGAGGAACACCGGUGGCGAAGGCGGUUCUCUGGGCAUUACCUGACGCUGAGGAGCGAAAGUGUGGGGAGCGAACAGGAUUAGAUACCCUGGUAGUCCACACCGUAAACGUUGGGCGCUAGGUGUGGGGCCUAUUCCAUGGGUUCCGUGCCGCAGCUAACGCAUUAAGCGCCCCGCCUGGGGAGUACGGCCGCAAGGCUAAAGCUCAAAGGAAUUGACGGGGGCCCGCACAAGCGGCGGAGCAUGCGGAUUAAUUCGAUGCAACGCGAAGAACCUUACCUGGGUUUGACAUACACCGGAAAGCUGUAGAGAUAUGGCCCCUUUUUGUCGGUGUACAGGUGGUGCAUGGCUGUCGUCAGCUCGUGUCGUGAGAUGUUGGGUUAAGUCCCGCAACGAGCGCAACCCUCGUUCUAUGUUGCCAGCAUGCCCUUCGGGGUGAUGGGGACUCAUAGGAGACUGCCGGGGCCAACUCGGAGGAAGGUGGGGAUGACGUCAAGUCAUCAUGCCCCUUAUGUCCAGGGCUUCACGCAUGCUACAAUGGCCGGUACAAAGGGCUGCGAUGCUGUAAGGCGGAGCGAAUCCCAAAAAGCCGGUCUCAGUUCGGAUUGGGGUCUGCAACUCGACCCCAUGAAGUCGGAGUCGCUAGUAAUCGCAGAUCAGCAGCGCUGCGGUGAAUACGUUCCCGGGC
RNAcentral lists this ribosomal RNA (1048 nucleotides) under uncultured bacterium. Its description in RNAcentral is "bacterial SSU rRNA". It matches the Rfam family "Bacterial small subunit ribosomal RNA", at positions 335 to 1379 of the family's 1533-position model. The record is from RNAcentral.